GACGAACGCUGGCGGCGUGCUUAACACAUGCAAGUCGAACGGAAAGGCCCUGCUUUUGUGGGGUGCUCGAGUGGCGACCGGGUGAGUAACACGUGAGUAACCUGCCCUUGACUUUGGGAUAACUUCAGGAAACUGGGGCUAAUAUCGGAUAGGAGCUCCUGCUGCAUGGUGGGGGUUGGAAAGUUUCGGCGGUUGGGGAUGGACUCGCGGCUUAUCAGCUUGUUGGUGGGGUAGUGGCUUACCAAGGCUUUGACGGGUAGCCGGCCUGAGAGGGGGACCGGCCACAUUGGGACUGAGAUACGGCCCAGACUCCUACGGGAGGCAGCAGUGGGGAAUAUUGCACAAUGGGCGGAAGCCUGAUGCAGCAACGCCGCGUGCGGGAUGACGGCCUUCGGGUUGUAAACCGCUUUCGCCUGUGACGAAGCGUGAGUGACGGUAAUGGGUAAAGAAGCACCGGCUAACUACGUG
Molecule: ribosomal RNA, 468 nt
Filed under: uncultured bacterium
Lineage: Bacteria
Description: partial 16S ribosomal RNA
Rfam family: Bacterial small subunit ribosomal RNA
Source: RNAcentral